CUACGGGGCGCAGCAGUGAGGAAUAUUGCACAAUGGGGGGAACCCUGAUGCAGCAACGCCGCGUGGGGGAUGACGCAGUUCGGUGUGUAAACUCCUUUUAUAUGUCAAGAAAAUGACGGUAGCAUAUGAAUAAGCACCGACUAACUCCGUGCCAGCAGCCGCGGUAAUACGGAGGGUGCAAGCGUUACUCGGAAUCACUGGGCGUAAAGGACGCGUAGGCGGGUUGGAAAGUCAGGUGUGAAAUCCUACAGCUUAACUGUAGAACUGCACUUGAAACUUCUAAUCUAGAGUAUGGGAGGGGGAGAUGGAAUUAGUGGUGUAGGGGUAAAAUCCGUAGAUAUCACUAGGAUUACCUAAAGCGAAGGCGAUCUCCUGGAACAUUACUGACGCUAAGGCGUGAAAGCGUGGGGAGCAAACAGGAUUAGAUACCCUCGUAGUC
This 439-nucleotide ribosomal RNA is filed under the name uncultured bacterium. Its description in RNAcentral is "partial 16S ribosomal RNA". It matches the Rfam family "Bacterial small subunit ribosomal RNA", at positions 339 to 795 of the family's 1533-position model. The record is from RNAcentral.